Molecule: transfer RNA, 68 nt
Filed under: Marmota monax (woodchuck)
Lineage: Eukaryota; Metazoa; Chordata; Mammalia; Rodentia; Sciuridae
Description: tRNA.Ala
Rfam family: tRNA (bases 5-65)
About the family: Transfer RNA (tRNA) molecules are approximately 80 nucleotides in length. Their secondary structure includes four short double-helical elements and three loops (D, anti-codon, and T loops).
Source: RNAcentral
GGAUUGUAGUUCAGUGGUAGAGCACUUGCUUUGCAUGCAUGAGGCACUGGGUUCGUUCCUCAGCACCA